RNAcentral lists this ribosomal RNA (468 nucleotides) under uncultured bacterium. RNAcentral describes it as "partial 16S ribosomal RNA". It matches the Rfam family "Bacterial small subunit ribosomal RNA", at positions 28 to 507 of the family's 1533-position model. The record is from RNAcentral.
GACGAACGCUGGCGGCGUGCUUAACACAUGCAAGUCGAACGGAAAGGCCCUGCUUUUGUGGGGUGCUCGAGUGGCGAACGGGUGAGUAACACGUGAGUAACCUGCCCUUGACUUCGGGAUAACUUCAGGAAACUGGGGCUAUAACCGGAUAGGAGCUCCUGCUGCACGGGGGGGGUUGGAAAGUUUCGGCGGUUGGGGAUGAACUGGCGGCUUAUCAGCUUGUUGGUGGGGUAGUGGCUUACCAAGGCUUUGACGGGUAGCCGGCCUGAGAGGGUGACCGGCCACAUUGGGACUGAGGUACGGCCCAGACGCCUACGGGAGGAAGCAGUGGGGAAUAUUGCACAAUGGGCGGAAGCCUGAUGCAGCAACGCCGCGUGCGGGAUGACGGCCUUCGGGUUGUAAACCGCUUUCGCCUGUGACGAAGCGUGAGUGACGGUAAUGGGUAAAGAAGCACCGGCUAACUACGUG